UACGGAGGGUGCAAGCGUUACUCGGAAUCACUGGGCGUAAAGAGCGUGUAGGCGGAUAGAUAAGUCAGAAGUGAAAUCCUGCAGCUUAACUGUAGAAUUGCCGUUGAUACUGUUAGUCUUGAGUACAUUUGAGGUAGGCGGAAUGUGGUGUGUAGCGGUGAAAUGCAUAGAUAUACCACAGAACACCGAUUGCGAAGGCAGCUUACUAAACUGUAACUGACGCUGAGGCACGAAAGCGUGGGUAUCAAACAGG
RNAcentral lists this ribosomal RNA (253 nucleotides) under uncultured bacterium. RNAcentral describes it as "partial 16S ribosomal RNA". It matches the Rfam family "Bacterial small subunit ribosomal RNA", at positions 524 to 776 of the family's 1533-position model. The record is from RNAcentral.